RNAcentral lists this ribosomal RNA (84 nucleotides) under Eriocycla pelliotii. Its description in RNAcentral is "partial 5.8S ribosomal RNA". It matches the Rfam family "5.8S ribosomal RNA", at positions 73 to 154 of the family's 154-position model. Rfam says of the family: 5.8S ribosomal RNA (5.8S rRNA) is a component of the large subunit of the eukaryotic ribosome. It is transcribed by RNA polymerase I as part of the 45S precursor that also contains 18S and 28S rRNA. Lineage: Eukaryota; Viridiplantae; Streptophyta; Magnoliopsida; Apiales; Apiaceae. The record is from RNAcentral.
UGCAGAAUCCCGUGAACCAUCGAGUCUUUGAACGCAAGUUGCGCCCAAAGCCUUUAGGCCGAGGGCACGUCUGCCUGGGUGUCA